RNAcentral lists this ribosomal RNA (451 nucleotides) under uncultured Fibrobacter sp. RNAcentral's name for it is "bacterial SSU rRNA". It matches the Rfam family "Bacterial small subunit ribosomal RNA", at positions 341 to 792 of the family's 1533-position model. The record is from RNAcentral. Lineage: Bacteria; Pseudomonadati; Fibrobacterota; Fibrobacteria; Fibrobacterales; Fibrobacteraceae.
ACGGGAGGCAGCAGUAGGGAAUAUUGCACAAUGGGGGAAACCCUGAUGCAGCAACGCCACGUGUGGGAAGACGCAUUUCGGUGUGUAAACCUCUGUCGUGAGGGAAUAAGGCUACUUUUCGGAGUAGUUGAAUGUACCUCGAAAGGAAGCACCGGCAAACUUCGUGCCAGCAGCCGCGGUAAUACGAGGGGUGCAAGCGUUGUUCGGAAUCACUGGGCGUAAAGGGAGCGCAGGCGGAGAUGCAAGCGGACUGUACAAUACCGGGGCCCAACCCCGGACCUGCAGUCCGGACUGCACCUCUUGGAUAGUUCAGGGGCAAGCGGAAUUCCUGGUGUAGCGGUGGAAUGCGUAGAGAUCAGGAAGAACACCGAUGGCGAAGGCAGCUUGCUGGGGACUGAUCGACGCUCAUGCUCGAAAGUGCGGGUAGCAAACAGGAUUAGAUACCCUGGUA